UACGGAGGAUCCGAGCGUUAUCCGGAUUUAUUGGGUUUAAAGGGUGCGCAGGCGGGAGAUUAAGUCGGCGGUGAAAUUUUGCAGCUCAACUGUAAAAGUGCCUUCGAAACUGGUUUCCUUAAGUGUAGAUGAAGUAGGCGGAAUUUGUGGUGUAGCGGUGAAAUGCAUAGAUAUCACGAGGAACUCCGAUUGCGCAGGCAGCUUACUAAACUACUACUGACGCUCAGGCACGAAGGCGUGGGGAUCAAACAGGAUUAGAUACCCGUGUAGUCCCU
This 275-nucleotide ribosomal RNA is filed under the name uncultured prokaryote. Its description in RNAcentral is "partial 16S ribosomal RNA". It matches the Rfam family "Bacterial small subunit ribosomal RNA", at positions 524 to 798 of the family's 1533-position model. The record is from RNAcentral.